Molecule: ribosomal RNA, 620 nt
Filed under: Achromobacter xylosoxidans
Lineage: Bacteria; Pseudomonadati; Pseudomonadota; Betaproteobacteria; Burkholderiales; Alcaligenaceae
Description: bacterial SSU rRNA
Rfam family: Bacterial small subunit ribosomal RNA
Source: RNAcentral
GAACGGCAGCACGGACUUCGGUCUGGUGGCGAGUGGCGAACGGGUGAGUAUUGUAUCGGAACGUGCCCAGUAGCGGGGGAUAACUACGCGAAAGCGUAGCUAAUACCGCAUACGCCCUACGGGGGAAAGCAGGGGAUCGCAAGACCUUGCACUAUUGGAGCGGCCGAUAUCGGAUUAGCUAGUUGGUGGGGUAACGGCUCACCAAGGCGACGAUCCGUAGCUGGUUUGAGAGGACGACCAGCCACACUGGGACUGAGACACGGCCCAGACUCCUACGGGAGGCAGCAGUGGGGAAUUUUGGACAAUGGGGGAAACCCUGAUCCAGCCAUCCCGCGUGUGCGAUGAAGGCCUUCGGGUUGUAAAGCACUUUUGGCAGGAAAGAAACGUCGUGGGCUAAUACCCCGUGAAACUGACGGUACCUGCAGAAUAAGCACCGGCUAACUACGUGCCAGCAGCCGCGGUAAUACGUAGGGUGCAAGCGUUAAUCGGAAUUACUGGGCGUAAAGCGUGCGCAGGCGGUUCGGAAAGAAAGAUGUGAAAUCCCAGAGCUUAACUUUGGAACUGCAUUUUUAACUACCGGGCUAGAGUGUGUCAGAGGGAGGUGGAAUUCCGCGUGUAGC